This is a long non-coding RNA of Perognathus longimembris pacificus (Pacific pocket mouse), 3131 nucleotides long. RefSeq lists it as uncharacterized. The record is from RefSeq and is a predicted model, not a curated record. Lineage: Eukaryota; Metazoa; Chordata; Mammalia; Rodentia; Heteromyidae. The transcript is spliced from 3 exons.
GAAAAACAAAAAGAGGGAGAAAAAGGAACAGAGACAGAGAGAGAAGCAGAGAAACAGAGACACACAGAGAGAAAAGCAAUGCAAAAAAAGAGAGCAACAAAUAAUUCAUUUCUUAAACCUAAAUCCUUAUUCUAUACAUUCUUUUACAAGGGUUGUUAACUAGUCUCCUCUGACAUGAGUCUUUAAUAACCUAUUGCAAGACGUGCCACAGACGCCAUUUCUAAAACAUUCAAGUGUGUACCAAAUUCCAAAUUUACCAGGUUAUUAGGAAUUUGAAUACUGCUCUUGGAGUUUUAUUUGCCAUUUUUACUGGUUACACCUCAUCUCUAUGAUACCUGUGGGAUCCUUUACAAGCAAGCAGAACAGGGCCCUUUCCAACAUUAUCACACAAUCAUAAAAGUGCCAAUAAAAACAAGGUAAUGCUGUCCCCCCUGGUUGUUUUAUCCCAUGGGUUGCAGUUUAGCAGUGUUAAAGAGAAACAAAGCUUCUAUCUGAACAGGGAAUAUAACAAUUCACUAGUUGUUAGUAAAGUACAAGAGGUGUCUGUCCAUACAUCUCUUGUUAUUUCAGUCAGAAUUUCAAAGUAAGAGCUGCAACCUGAUGAUCCACAGAGCACUCCCAGAAGGUAUUUUUGUCUGUCAUUUUAAAAUUAUUGCUAACAUUUAAAGGACAGAGCAUUCGUGUUUUGUCAUUUUUGCCACUGUUUUUAUACUAAACCAGAAUGACAACUUCCAGUGAAAAGCCUGGCCACAAUGGCAGGUAUUUCAAUAGUUUUAAGUUAUGUGUUGCCUAUUUGUCCGGGCAGGUAUUUUCCCAGGUCCAGCAUCAGCCUCAAACCUCUCUUCUGGCUGUGAUGUGUUGCCCCUGUAGGCCCUGGAGAUUGAGACUGAGCACCUUUGGAUGGCAGCAAGUCCAAUUCUGAUUCAUUUGUGGCCACUCUGCUGUCAGUGUUUCACAGCUCAUUUCUGACUCAGCAGCAGUAUGAAUUAGUCCCUGUUCUCCAUCCCCCAGACUGCCAAUUGCAUGGCUGCCAUCCUCUUAUUAUUUAGUUCCCAACCAGAUUUUAGUUAUGUUCAAUUAAAUGUUCUCUUCAAAGGAAUUUUAAAUACAUUCACAGUGAAGGCAGAAAGACAGGUGAGAAGAUCUAAGAGCUCCAAAUAAGAGCUACACUCGGUUUCCAUCUUCACAGGAAAUCACAGCUCACCAAGCAAUUUAGAUAUGGUGGCUGCUCAGUGAGGCUUGGUAGGAUAGCCAGCUCACUUGUCUCUGUAUUCAGCCCUGGGAAGUCAUCUAAAAUGACAUAAACCCAAGUGUCCAUCACAGCACUUAGUUAAAUCAAAAUGUGAUUGUUUUAUUAACUACAAAUGGUUCUGGGCUCAUUACACUAUAUGAUGCCUUUAUGCAAAUGAGACAAAAUGGACACUCCUCCUAGUUGAGCAGUAAAUGUCAGAGAGUUCACCUGCAAGCAAAGUUCAAGUCAGAUUUCAGCCACAAACGGGUGUGGUCAGUUGUGAAUAUACAUGCUCAGAGGAAAGUUACAUUUGAUAUACUACAGAAUUCAAAGAAUGGAUAUAGUUUAGAGAUCUGGAUAAGCUUGACAGAAGAAAACUUUCAAAAGACAGGAUAGGAAGGUAAAUGUGAGGGCUCAAGAGAGGAAGUCUACCCAGGACAAUAGUUAGAACAAGAGUCAUGAAUGUUUAGGAAACACUAUGAGGUUGAGUACCAGUGUUUAUGCAAUUUUUAUGUAAAUGGCAGGAAUAGGUGGUUAAUAGAUUGGGUCUAUGAGGUAAAAAGCACUGAAGGCUAAGUUGAGGAGUCUGCUCCUAAGUCAGGUGUCAGUCUCUCAAGCCAUCCUUACCAAGAACUAAUGAUUAAUGUCACACAAUAAUUAACACUAAUCACAUAGUGGGUGUCAUUUUGCCUUUUGGUGAAAGUUAUCUCACUUAAAUCUCAUAACAAUCUUAAAAAAUUUGUGCUAUCACUGUUUCUAUUUUGCAAAAUAGAAAAUAAUGAUUUCAACAGUUAGAAAUGUCAAAGUUCCCAUGCUUUUUAGGUCCAUAAAUGGUUCAGGUGGAGAGAAAUCCCUUUAGAUGGAAGACAUAAUGACUAGAAUGCUAAAUAUUACACUAAGUAUGGAUGUAUGUGUUAAGGAUUACAGGACCAAAAGACAAAGAUUAUCAUUUUGUGACAUUUGAGGGACUUAUUUAUGGCCACCAUUUAUGUACAAAGGCUUAAUUUGUCAAUGCUCUGUAUUUGGGUCUCUGUUAUCAUUGGCUAAGCAUAUUUCUUUUCUGAUAUAAAUUUUUAUAUAAGUAAUGAAAACCUUGGUUUAUAUUACCUCGAUUGAUGUCAUGAAUAUCUACAACUUAUAGGACCAAGGUUGAAGAAUGUGUGUAACUCAAAUAUAGUUAGGCUACUCUAUUCAUGAGAUAGAGGUAUCUCUCAUGAAGUGCUUAUAAAAUUGAUAUAAAGUUACUAAGGCUUUACGAUAAUCUACUCAAAGUUUAGGCAAGGAUAAUAUUACCAUUAAAACCCACAAAAAUGAAAUAAACUCAGAAUCAUUUAAAAUUCAAAGCUUAGAUGAAAACUCAGAAACAAAGCAGGUAUUUCCAUUGAGACACAUGAGAGUUGUUAUUCAUAGGUCUCACCAGGAACAGAAACACGUUUAGUUGGGUUGUUGUUAUUGGUGGUAAUGGUGCUUGUUUCUGGUUUUGUUUCUUUUUGUUGCUAUUGUCUUUGGCAAUGGAAGCCCAGGGAGCAUGAGAAGGGAACUAGACUGCAGGCUAUAGUGAGAAGCAGUUAAAGGAGUAUGGAUGUUAGCUUUCCUGAAGAGGAGACCCAUGUGUACCAUAGAGCAUCAUUCGCCAGUACUUAUCCUGCGUUUUGUUUUCCUAUCAACAACCCCAGUGAACUUCUACUAUGAAGUAGGUCACUCGUCUGAUUAAAAUACUUUAAUGAUUCCUCCCAAGAUAUGGAAUAAAAUCCAAGCCCCCAAUAUAUCUUAGCUUUUCUGCCUUUGGUUUUGAAAUUUGAAAUUCCAAGUCAUUUCCAAACUGGGCCUUUGAUCUUUUUUUUUUUUUUUUUUUUGCCAGUCUUGGGGCUUGGACUCAGGGCCUGAGCACUGUCCCUGG